RNAcentral lists this small RNA (1165 nucleotides) under Pan troglodytes (chimpanzee). RNAcentral's name for it is "retained intron". The record is from RNAcentral. Lineage: Eukaryota; Metazoa; Chordata; Mammalia; Primates; Hominidae.
UGCUGAUGGAAGCUCUCCCUGUUCAGUCCCAUCUCCACAUCCUUUCCUGGGCUGUGUCUCCACCUUGUGGAUGCUGCCAAACCCACACUCUUCCAGUCCACACUCUUCACAACCCAAACAUGCUGAGGGUAGACGCCUCAAAGGCGAGGAGACACUAGCCCCAGCUGUCCGGGAGCACCAAUGGUCAUUACCCCUUCUCAUCCCUGCAGACGCUGGCACGGUGCUGAAGGUGAUCUCGGUCCCCAAGGGCAGUAGGCCCAGCGCAGAGGGGCUGCUCCUGGAGGAGCUGCACGUGUUUGAGGUGAGGCCUCGCCCCCAGUCGCCCGGGACCCCCCCACCCCCCUAAGCCCUGACCCCGUCGCCCCUCCUCCCUCUCAGGACUCGGCCGCUGUCACGAGCAUGCAAAUUUCUUCCAAGAGGGUGAGUGACCAGGAUGGGGAUCGGGGUGGGAUGGACUGAGCUUGUGCCUGGCGCGUCCCAAGCCUCUGGCCCCUUUUGGUAGUUUGCAGUCCCGGGUUUGAGUACAGGCUCUGGCUUUGCUAGACUGUGUGACCUGAGGCGUAAGACCUCAGUGUUCCCAUCUGUCGAGUGGGAGAAGGGAUCCCUGACCGAUGGGAGGCAGGCGUGGGGUCGCCCUCGGUCAGCCCAGAGCCCCUCGUGCCCCCUAGCACCAGCUGUACGUAGCCUCGCGGAGCGCGGUGGCCCAGAUCGCGUUGCACCGCUGCGCUGCCCACGGCCGCGUCUGCACCGAAUGCUGUCUGGCGCGUGACCCCUACUGCGCCUGGGACGGGGUCGCGUGCACGCGCUUCCAGCCCAGUGCCAAGAGGCGGUUCCGGCGGCAAGACGUAAGGAAUGGCGACCCCAGCACGUUGUGCUCCGGAGACUCGUCUCGUCCCGCGCUGCUGGAACACAAGGUGUUCGGCGUGGAGGGCAGCAGCGCCUUUCUGGAGUGUGAGCCCCGGUCGCUGCAGGCGCGCGUGGAGUGGACUUUCCAGCGCGCAGGGGUGACAGCCCACACCCAGGUGCUGGCAGAGGAGCGCACCGAGCACACCGCCCGGGGACUACUGCUGCGCAGGCUGCGGCGCCGGGACUCGGGCGUGUACUUGUGCGCCGCCGUCGAGCAGGGCUUUACGCAACCGCUGCGUCGCCUGUCGCUGCACGUGUU